UUUUUUUUUUUUUUUUUUUUUUUUUUUUUUUUUUUUUUUUUUUUA
This 45-nucleotide non-coding RNA is filed under the name Alexandrium minutum. Lineage: Eukaryota; Dinophyceae; Gonyaulacales; Pyrocystaceae. The record is from RNAcentral.